GAGCAAGUGCGUCUUAUCAAUGGCGAAUCUCUUGCAUUGAAGGUUGGCAAAAUCAAUCAUGUUGCGAUUCUCCGUGCCUUUCAAAUUUUCUAUCAUUUUGAUUACGGCCUCGAACAAGUCGCUACAUC
Ipomoea triloba (trilobed morning glory) is the source of this 128-nucleotide small nucleolar RNA. The record is from RefSeq and is a predicted model, not a curated record. NCBI's taxonomy places the organism in Eukaryota, Viridiplantae, Streptophyta, Magnoliopsida, Solanales, Convolvulaceae.